RNAcentral lists this non-coding RNA (45 nucleotides) under Schistosoma margrebowiei. Lineage: Eukaryota; Metazoa; Platyhelminthes; Trematoda; Strigeidida; Schistosomatidae. The record is from RNAcentral.
AUCCUGGUGACGGGUCGUAAAUAGGACGAAACGCACGUCCUGAAU